RNAcentral lists this ribosomal RNA (468 nucleotides) under uncultured bacterium. RNAcentral describes it as "partial 16S ribosomal RNA". It matches the Rfam family "Bacterial small subunit ribosomal RNA", at positions 28 to 507 of the family's 1533-position model. The record is from RNAcentral.
GACGAACGCUGGCGGCGUGCUUAACACAUGCAAGUCGAACGGAAAGGCCCUGCUUUUGUGGGGUGCUCGAGUGGCGAACGGGUGAGUAACACGUGAGUAACCUGCCCUUGACUUUGGGAUAACUUCAGGAAACUGGGGCUAAUGCCGGAUAGGAGCUCCUGCUGCAUGGUGGGGGUUGGAAAGUUUCGGCGGUUGGGGAUGGACUCGCGGCUUAUCAGCUUGUUGGUGGGGUAGUGGCUUGCCAAGGCUUUGACGGGUAGCCGGCCUGAGAGGGUGACCGGCCACAUUGGGACUGAGAUACGGCCCAGACUCCUACGGGAGGCAGCAGUGGGGAAUAUUGCACAAUGGGCGGAAGCCUGAUGCAGCAACGCCGCGUGCGGGAUGACGGCCUUCGGGUUGUAAACCGCUUUCGCCUGUGACGAAGCGUGAGUGACGGUAAUGGGUAAAGAAGCACCGGCUAACUACGUG